Molecule: non-coding RNA, 276 nt
Filed under: Clostridium sp.
Lineage: Bacteria; Bacillati; Bacillota; Clostridia; Eubacteriales; Clostridiaceae
Description: T-box sequence
Rfam family: T-box leader
About the family: Uncharged tRNA acts as the effector for transcription antitermination of genes in the T-box leader family.
Source: RNAcentral
UUAAAAACUGUGAUAAAGAGGAGUAAGGAUUAGGAAGUAUUAAGAGAGGAAGGUCUUGGCUGAAAGCCUUCUAUAUGGAAUAUCCUGAAGGUAGCUUUUGAGUUUCUUUGCUGAAAGUAUAGCAAUUAGUAGGCAAAGACGGCGUUCAUAGCCGUUAUUGAAUUAAGAGCCCAUAAUAAUGGCCAGUAUUUGUUUAGUAUAGUUUAAACUUUUAAAUGCUAAAAUAAUAUUGUGCUUGUGGGAAUAAAGGUGGUACCGCGAGUCUUCGUCCUUUUU